GAUGAACGCUGGCGGCGUGCCUAAAACAUGCAAGUCGAGCGGCAGCGAGUUCCUCGCUAAUGUUCGGAUUUGUUUACCAAUGAUGCAAGUAAUUUAGUCAGAGUAACAAAGUAACGACUAGUUGUUUAAGUUAAAAGGUAGAUUUAAUAUUCCGGAUAUGAGCGAGGAAUGUCGGCGAGCGGCGGACGGCUGAGUAGCGCGUAGGAACAUACCCCAAAGUGAGGCAUAACCGCCCGAAAGGGUGGCUAAUACCGCAUAUUGUCUUCGGAUGAAAGCUUUUAGCGCUUUGGGAAUGGCCUGCGUUUGAUUAGCUAGUUGGUGAGGUAAGGGCUUACCAAGGCGAUGAUCAAUAGCUGGUUUGAGAGAAUGAUCAGCCAGACUGGAACUGAGACACGGUCCAGACUCCUACGGAGGCAGCAGUUGGGAAUUUUCCACGUAAUGGGCGAAAGCCUGAUGGAGCAACGCCGCGUGCAGGAAGAAUGCCUUCGGGUUGUAAA
This 497-nucleotide ribosomal RNA is filed under the name uncultured bacterium. Its description in RNAcentral is "bacterial SSU rRNA". It matches the Rfam family "Bacterial small subunit ribosomal RNA", at positions 28 to 429 of the family's 1533-position model. The record is from RNAcentral.